AUAGAAUCACCCUUAGGUGAACUGUGGAGUUUUGGUAUAGUUUUGGAGCCCAUAGAAAAUCAUGAAGUCCUUGCUCAUCCGGCCCAAAGAAUUGAAGCUUAUUGAAAAUCAUCUGAAGGGUUAGCAUCCUCUUGUGACCUUUUCGUUUAACUGUGAUGAAAAACCCUCAUUGGAAGCUUUGAAAGGAGUUGAUUUCUCAGGUAUGGCUGCCUGUAUGCAUGUGAAUGUAGAAUUGGACAAGGAACAAGAAAAAUGGCUUGAAAGCUUGUUUUAAUGUAUGCCCAAAGCUACCUUUAUUGAUAUUUUCAGAUUGUAUCAGAAUAGUAAAAUGCUGGAAAAUAGUUCCUUUGUACAGUGUGUGGAAUGGGAAAUAGCACAAUUGGCUCUAGCUGAAAGUGUGAUAACACUUUGUUGAGUCUAGUGCACGUGCUAUCCUUUAGGAUGAAUCAAAGGAGUUAUCACAUGAAGCUUAAAGUCAUGUCUAGAAGAAUUCAGAAACGAAUAGGAAAAAAAAAAUGGCAAGAAAUGGAAGGGUAUCAUAUUCGGUUUAUAUGUAUUGUAUCUGAAUCAAUCUUGUGUAUCUCCACUUUGACCUUUUGUUCUUUCAACAAACCAGUUUACCCUCUCAUAUAUGAAAUAUGUAUGUUUUAACACUCUUUGUAGUACCACAAUUUCCCUCAUUCCCCGUAAUGUCAUAUUGCAAAUCUUGCUAUUCUAUGUGUUGAUUGGUUGUCAUGAGUUUCUUACCGUCAUUAUAUAUUGAUUUAUGGUUUCAAAUUAUAUGCUUCUUGCUUCCGUUAUUUAUAUUUUUGGCACACCAAAGGAUCACAGGAAAUCUAAAGUAUACCAUGACCAUGUAUUUCUCUUCUCAAUUACUGGUGACUACAUAUGGUUCCAGAAUGACCAGGUUCUUGGUGUCGUUUAAAUAAAUUAUUGGGUUCUUAUAUGUUAUAACAUCAAAAUGCUAAGCUUAAAGCAAUGAAGCACCCAACUGUUAUGGCUCAUAAUUGAUGAAUCUUAUGAUGUUCAAUUACGAUAUGAUUUUGGUUAAUAAUUCUAGGUAUGUUUCAGGAUUAGAAUGUAUUGUGGAGUUUUUGCAUAAACUGGAUGCUCACUAAAUUAUCUGUAUACCAACUAUAUGUUUAGCACACUAUGGAUGUGAAUAGGGUCACUUUCUUUGUGUGGAUCAGAGUGAGUAGGGUCACUUUCUUUGUGUGGAUCAGAAUGAGGGGAGCGGUGGUGAUAGAGAGUUGAAAGGGGGCAAAGAUUGUCUACUACGGAUACCAACAUUAUGAUGUUUCUAAAGAGGCUAGCUGAGAAUAGGCAUCUUUCUAUCGUCUCUGGGUGCUUGACAUCUUAGGUUAUUAGUUAUUUUUUUAAGGGGAAUUUAUGUGGGCAUCUUCAUUAUUCUGAAGUAUCAUGCAGCCAUUCUGGUACAACACAAAAAUUAGACCGUGGACAUGAGAGUCCAUUCUAUGUGUCAAUAGACAAACAAUGUUAGUUCUUCUGUUAUUUUAUCAUGGUUUUUGCCUUACAGUUUCAAAUUUAAGAUGAUUUUCCCUUUCCUUGUGCUGCUGAAAGUUAAAAAAUUGAUUGUUUGACAUAGAUCAUAAAUUUUUUAAUGAAUUUUUUUGUGUAUUUUGUUUUUUCUAUAGUAUAAUUCUUCAUAUCAAGAUUAUUCUCUAUCGAUUUAACCAGUUUACAUUGAUGUUUAUCACAAUAAGCUUAAUAUUUGCACCUAUUUAUAAGAAUUGUGCUACUGUAUAUUCGCCUAUGGAGAAAGGCAGAAGGCUGGGAAAUAAGCAAAGAAGGUUAGUUAAAGCCAAGACCAGGAAGAAGAUGCAUGAGUUGGAAAAUCCCCUCAAAGUGAUGAGUUCGCUGAUAUGUGAAAAGAGUGACAACCUAACUACGGUAACAUCUCUUUUACUGCACUCGCUAGAGUGUGCAGAUUUAGUUGACUCCAUGCAACGUCUUGAGAGGAGGAAGGGUGAUUGUUUGUUUUUUUGCAUAUGGUAAAAUUAUUUAGGUGUUCAGAUUUGUACUGGAUUCUGAAAUCUUGUGGUCACUGUGAAUUCCAUGAGCUUAGUAGCUUAUUAGUCUAUUGCAAUACACAUACAUAGAUUGUUAGGUCUAAA
Long non-coding RNA from Salvia miltiorrhiza (redroot sage), 2135 nucleotides. RefSeq lists it as uncharacterized. The record is from RefSeq and is a predicted model, not a curated record. The transcript is spliced from 2 exons. NCBI's taxonomy places the organism in Eukaryota, Viridiplantae, Streptophyta, Magnoliopsida, Lamiales, Lamiaceae.